UACAGAGGUCUCAAGCGUUGUUCGGAUUCACUGGGCGUAAAGGGUGCGUAGGCGGUCGGGUAAGUCUGGCGUGAAAUCUCCAAGCCUAACUUGGAAACUGCGUUGGAUACUAUCCGGCUCGAGGAAUGGAGGGGAGACUGGAAUACUUGGUGUAGCAGUGAAAUGCGUAGAUAUCAAGUGGAACACCAGUGGCGAAGGCGAGUCUCUGGACAUUUCCUGACGCUGAGGCACGAAAGCCAGGGGAGCAAACGGG
This 253-nucleotide ribosomal RNA is filed under the name uncultured bacterium. RNAcentral describes it as "partial 16S ribosomal RNA". It matches the Rfam family "Bacterial small subunit ribosomal RNA", at positions 524 to 776 of the family's 1533-position model. The record is from RNAcentral.